This 95-nucleotide ribosomal RNA is filed under the name Sinocyclocheilus grahami. The record is from RNAcentral. Lineage: Eukaryota; Metazoa; Chordata; Actinopteri; Cypriniformes; Cyprinidae.
ACCGGCAGCCAUAUCACCCUGUAGCCCAAGACUGGUUGCCCACUGAAGCUAAGCAUGAUGGGAGACCUCCUGGGAAAACUAGGUUGCUGCUGGAA